AAAGAUUUUUGCUUGCUGUCAAACACACCAGUUAACUGAGGCUUUUAGAUCCCAACUCUGAACAAGGGUCUAUGUUAAACAUCAAAAUCCUUGGAGGAUCACCAGGAAGAACAUAAGGAGGAUACAAUACUUUGAUGUACUUUUGUGGGUGAUAGGGGGAACAACAGUCUGCUCUUUGAAGAGCAGAGAGACUUCACAGUCUGUAUUUGUAUUUAUUUUCCAGCAGGAUUUCCAAUGCACCCAAGACCAAAUGUCCACAAGAGGGGACUUCUAGGCUUUUCUAUGCUCUGAGCAAAGAUUUAGUGCUUCAGAAAAAUACAUCUGGGCUACUCUGCCUGUCUCCUUCCUGCCACUACAGCACACAGGAACUGGACUGAGGGCACAGGACUCCAGUUCCUCCUCUGCCAAGAAGAUGCCACAGAGCUCUCCCUUGUCAUGCACCACCAGAAGGAAAAGCUGCUUUGCCACCAAGGUGAGGCCAUCAGAAACACCUGGGUGCAUCCCUGGGGUUUAAAAAGAUUCAGCUGGGUAUAAUCAGUCUCACCCGGGGCUG
This 553-nucleotide long non-coding RNA is filed under the name Zonotrichia albicollis (white-throated sparrow). Its description in RNAcentral is "lncRNA (ENSZALG00000008834.1)". The record is from RNAcentral. Lineage: Eukaryota; Metazoa; Chordata; Aves; Passeriformes; Passerellidae.